Molecule: long non-coding RNA, 1486 nt
Filed under: Marmota monax (woodchuck)
Lineage: Eukaryota; Metazoa; Chordata; Mammalia; Rodentia; Sciuridae
Source: RNAcentral
UAGAGACCGCCCGCCUGCCGGCGACCGACUGCCUGCCCGCUGCCCGCACGAUUGGGCAGCUAGAGACCACCCGCCCGCAGGCGACCACCCGCGGCCCCCGCAACUGGGCGGCUGGAGACCGCCCGCCCGCCCGCCGGCGACCGCGCGGCUAGACCCCGAGGUGCGGCCCAGAAGGUAUGGCACAGAGACUCUAGGAAGAGGUCUAUAGCCAGGCCUUCAUGAAGUAGCCAACCGGGAGCUGAAACCAACCAGAGACAGUCCAGUCCCACCCCCCCUUCGAACACCCCAGCAAGGAGCCUGGGACCAGCCAUAGCAGAGAGGUGACGUCACUGGAGCUUGGCGGUCGGAAUUCCUUCCCAGCGGAAUCCACUUUAGCAGGCAUAGUCUACCAACACAAAGGAGAGACAACAGAGAUAUACAAAAUCAAAACAAAUCUAUAGGAGAGAGCAGAAACACAGCAAUCAAAUAGAGCUGGAAAGUAACGUGAACAACAUGAAAAAACAAGGGAAAAAGGGAGUACAGACAAUGCAGGACAACUUAAAUCUACAGGAGGACCUAGAAGCAUCAGAAACAUGGAUAGGGAAAGAACUCAAGGCAUACCUAACUCAGAUGGAAAGGAAUAUUAGAGAAGACAUGAGACAGCAAGUCCAAGCAAUGAAAGUAUAUUUUGAAAACAAAUUAAACAAACAAAUUCAAAUGGCAAAGAACGAGCUUUACUGGGAGAUAGAGAUCUUAAAAAAAAAUCAAACAGUAAUCCUAGAAAUGCAGGAAACUAUAAACCAAAUUAAAAACUCAAACGAGAAUAUUACAAAUAGACUAGAUCAAGUAGAAGUCAGAACAUCAGAUAAUGAAGACAAAGUUUAUCUACUUGAAAAGAAUAUAGUCAACACAGAAAAGAUGCUUAAAUCUCACGAGCAAUCUAUUCAAGAGAUAUGGGAUGUCAUAAAAAAACCAAAUUUGAGAGUCAUCGGGAUAGAAGAAGGCAUAGAGAUUCAAACCAAAGGAAUGGACAACCUAUUAAAUGAAAUAAUUCUAGAAAACUUCCCAGAGAUGAAAGAUGGAAUGGAUUGCCAAAUCCUGGAAGCCUACAGGACCCCAAACAUUCAAAACCGUAAUAGACCAACUCCAAGACAUAUAAUUAUGAAGAUAGCCAACAUACAGAACAAGGAGAGAAUAUUAAAAGCUACGAGAGAAAGGAGGCAGAUUACAUUCAGGGGUAAACCAAUUAGGUUAACGACUGAUUUUUCAUCACAGACUUUGAAAGCGAGAAGAUCCUGGAACAAUGUAUUUCAAACGCUGAAAAAUAAUGGAUUCCAACCAAGAAUACUGUAUCCAGCAAAAUUAAGCUUCAGAUUUGACAAUGAAAUUAAAAUCUUUCACGAUAAACAAAAGCUAAAAGAAUUCGCAGCCAGAAAACCAGCACUGCAAAGCAUUUUGAGCAAAAUACUACAAGAAGAGGAAUUGAAAAAUAGCGCCCAAAACUAAC